UCCGAUGCUCAAGUCAGUUCUCUGCCUCAACAAGAAUGGAGCGCUCGAAUGGAGAAUUUAGCAGAGUUUUUAGAUGAAAGAUGAAAGCUUAUAGAAUAACGUAUCUGGGAUCCCCUUUUAUAGGCGGAGGGGGUAGUAGUCUGAUAGCGACAUCCGUAACCGUCUGGCAGUGAGCUGCCCAGGGUCAGGCGGAGUUUGCUGCG
Molecule: long non-coding RNA, 203 nt
Filed under: Elaeis guineensis (African oil palm)
Lineage: Eukaryota; Viridiplantae; Streptophyta; Magnoliopsida; Arecales; Arecaceae
Description: long non-coding RNA (EGUI_LNC068231)
Source: RNAcentral